This 253-nucleotide ribosomal RNA is filed under the name uncultured bacterium. Its description in RNAcentral is "partial 16S ribosomal RNA". It matches the Rfam family "Bacterial small subunit ribosomal RNA", at positions 524 to 776 of the family's 1533-position model. The record is from RNAcentral.
UACGUAGGGUGCGAGCGUUAAUCGGAAUUACUGGGCGUAAAGUGUGCGCAGGCGGCCGCGCAAGUCGAGUGUGAAAGCCCCGGGCUUAACUUGGGAAUUGCGCUCGAAACUACGUGGCUGGAGUGUGGCAGAGGAAGGUGGAAUUCCGCGUGUAGCAGUGAAAUGCGUAGAGAUGCGGAGGAACACCGAUGGCGAAGGCAGCCCCCUGGGCUGACACUGACGCUCAGGCACGAAAGCGUGGGGAGCAAACAGG